AACGAACGCAGGCGGCAUGCCUAACACAUGCAAGUCGAACGAGACCUUCGGGUCUAGUGGCGCACGGGUGCGUAACGCGUGGGAAUCUGCCCUUGGGUUCGGAAUAACAGUUAGAAAUGACUGCUAAUACCGGAUAAUGUCUUCGGACCAAAGAUUUAUCGCCCAGGGAUGAGCCCGCGUAGGAUUAGCUAGUUGGUGAGGUAAAGGCUCACCAAGGCGACGAUCCUUAGCUGGUCUGAGAGGAUGAUCAGCCACACUGGGACUGAGACACGGCCCAGACUCCUACGGGAGGCAGCAGUGGGGAAUAUUGGACAAUGGGCGAAAGCCUGAUCCAGCAAUGCCGCGUGAGUGAUGAAGGCCUUAGGGUUGUAAAGCUCUUUUACCCGGGAUGAUAAUGACAGUACCGGGAGAAUAAGCCCCGGCUAACUCCGUGCCAGCAGCCGCGGUAAU
RNAcentral lists this ribosomal RNA (450 nucleotides) under uncultured bacterium. Its description in RNAcentral is "bacterial SSU rRNA". It matches the Rfam family "Bacterial small subunit ribosomal RNA", at positions 29 to 524 of the family's 1533-position model. The record is from RNAcentral.